UACGUAGGGGGCAAGCGUUGUUCGGAUUUACUGGGCGUAAAGGGCGCGUAGGCGGCAAUUCAAGUCAGCUGUGAAAUCUCCGGGCUUAACUCGGAACGGUCAGCUGAUACUGCUUUGCUAGAGUGCAGAAGGGGCAAUCGGAAUUCUUGGUGUAGCGGUGAAAUGCGUAGAUAUCAAGAGGAACACCUGAGGUGUAGACAGCUUACUGGACCACUUCUGACGCUGAGACACGAAAGCGUGGGUAGCAAACAGG
This 253-nucleotide ribosomal RNA is filed under the name uncultured bacterium. RNAcentral describes it as "partial 16S ribosomal RNA". It matches the Rfam family "Bacterial small subunit ribosomal RNA", at positions 524 to 776 of the family's 1533-position model. The record is from RNAcentral.